GACGAACGCUGGCGGCGUGCUUAACACAUGCAAGUCGAACGGUGACGAGGAGCUUGCUCCUCUGAUCAGUGGCGAACGGGUGAGUAACACGUGAGCAACCUGCCCCAGACUCUGGGAUAACAGUUGGAAACAGCUGCUAAUACCGGAUACGAGACGGAGAGGCAUCUCUACCGUCUGGAAAGUUUUUCGGUCUGGGAUGGACUCGCGGCCUAUCAGCUAGUUGGUGAGGUAAUGGCUCACCAAGGCGACGACGGGUAGCCGGCCUGAGAGGGCGACCGGCCACACUGGGACUGAGACACGGCCCAGACUCCUACGGGAGGCAGCAGUGGGGAAUAUUGCACAAUGGGCGAAAGCCUGAUGCAGCGACGCCGCGUGAGGGAUGAAGGCCU
RNAcentral lists this ribosomal RNA (389 nucleotides) under uncultured bacterium. RNAcentral describes it as "bacterial SSU rRNA". It matches the Rfam family "Bacterial small subunit ribosomal RNA", at positions 28 to 417 of the family's 1533-position model. The record is from RNAcentral.